UACGAAGGGUGCAAACGUUGCUCGGAAUUAUUGGGCGUAAAGCGCACGUAGGCGGCUCUGUAUGUUGGAUGUGAAAACCCUCGGCUCAACCAAGGAAGUGCAUCCAAAACUGCAGAGCUUGAGUACUUAAGAGGAUCGCGGAAUUCCCGGUGUAGAGGUGAAAUUCGUAGAUAUCGGGAGGAACAUCAGUGGCGAAGGCGAGUCUCUGGACGACUCCUGACACUGAGGCACGAAAGCUGGGGGAGCAAACAGG
This 253-nucleotide ribosomal RNA is filed under the name uncultured bacterium. Its description in RNAcentral is "partial 16S ribosomal RNA". It matches the Rfam family "Bacterial small subunit ribosomal RNA", at positions 524 to 776 of the family's 1533-position model. The record is from RNAcentral.